GUUAGGCACCGAAGUUGAAUAUUGCACCAAAAGUAGCUUAAUAGUCAAUAAAGAGAGUCGAACAAGGAAGUUAGUCGUUCACAUAUCACAUAACCAAGCUGCACUUGCAAUUUUCACAAUCCUCUCUUCUAAAAUUUGGUCAUUCCCUCUCCGGCCAUGGCAGCAGAAUUUGUUGGUGGUGCUCUUCUUUCUUCUUUCCUUCAGGUUGUUUUUGACAGGCUGGUUUCUCGUCAGGUUUUGGAAUACUUUCGUGGAAGAAAACUCGAUGAGAAGCUACUGAACAAGUUGAAGGUGAAGCUACGGUCCAUUGAUGCUCUGGCUGAUGAUGCAGAACAAAAGCAGUUCAGGGAUCCAAGGGUGAGAGAGUGGCUUGUUGCUGUCAAAGAUGCUGAUAUUCCUAUAAAUAGAAUGAAUGCAACGAAGAAAGGUAGAGAAAAAUUAUGAAUCACCUUUUAGUGUAGUUAGCAUAGUAUAGCUUAGUCCUCUAUUCGUAGCAGAUGCUAUGUUUGAUGCAGAGGAUCUGUUGGAUGAAAUAGACUAUGAAAUCAACAAAUGGGCUGUGGAGAAUGAUUCUGAAUCUCAAACCUGUACCUGCAAGGAAUCGAGUUUCUUCGAAACAUCUUUCAGUUCAUUUAACAUGAAAAUUGAAUCAAGGAUGAAACAAGUCCUUGCUGACCUUGAAUUUCUCUCAAGCCAAAAGGGUGAUCUUGGUUUGAAAGAGGCUAGUGGUCUUGGGGUUGGAUCAGGUAGUAAAGUGUCACAGAAAUUGCCAUCAAUAUCUUUGGUGACUGAAAGUGUCAUUUAUGGAAGAGAUAAUGACAGAAAUUAUCCUUAAUUUGAUGACAACUGACACUUACAAUCGAAGCCAGCUAUCAACACUUUCAAUCAUGGGUAUGGGCGGGAUGGUUAAGACUACACAGCCUGUAUAAUGAAUGACUCUGGUUUAUGGCUAUGUUGUUGAUAGGACAAAUCAGAAAGUUUGAAUUGAAUGUGUGCGUUCCAAAUGCAUUUCAGUUUUACACUACCAAAUCAAUCUCAACUAGCUAGGAACCAUUCUUGUUAAAAGAAAUAACUCAAACUAUUUUUGUUAAAAACAAUUAUGGCUCAGAAUUACCUUUGAGGUUGCAAAUAUAAAAAUGACUGAAUAAUGGACAGAUUGAACACAGUCCCCGUAGAAAUAAAGAAAUAGACUGAUUACA
Molecule: long non-coding RNA, 1199 nt
Filed under: Glycine max (soybean)
Lineage: Eukaryota; Viridiplantae; Streptophyta; Magnoliopsida; Fabales; Fabaceae
Description: long non-coding RNA (GMAX_LNC002952)
Source: RNAcentral